Molecule: non-coding RNA, 108 nt
Organism: Canis lupus familiaris (dog)
Lineage: Eukaryota; Metazoa; Chordata; Mammalia; Carnivora; Canidae
Source: Rfam
AUGCUCACUUCAGCAGCACAUAUACAAAAACCUAAACAAUACAGAAAAGAUUUGCAUGGCCUCUGUUGCAAGGAUGACAUGCAAAUUCAGGAAGUGUUCCAUAUUUUU